UGGGGAAUAUUGGACAAUGGGCGAAAGCCUGAUCCAGCCAUGCCGCGUGUGUGAAGACGGUCUUCGGAUUGUAAAGCACUUUAAGUUGGGAGGAAGGGCAGUAAGCGAAUACCUUGCUGUUUUGACGUUACCGACAGAAUAAGCACCGGCUAACUCUGUGCCAGCAGCCGCGGUAAUACAGAGGGUGCAAGCGUUAAUCGGAAUUACUGGGCGUAAAGCGCGCGUAGGUGGUUCGUUAAGUUGAAUGUGAAAGCCCCGGGCUCAACCUGGGAACUGCAUCCAAAACUGGCGAGCUAGAGUAGGGCAGAGGGUUGUGGAAUUUCCUGUGUAGCGGUGAAAUGCGUAGAUAUAGGAAGGAACACCAGUGGCGAAGGCGACCACCUGGGCUCAUACUGACACUGAGGUGCGAAAGCGUGGGGAGCAAACAGG
This 429-nucleotide ribosomal RNA is filed under the name Pseudomonadota bacterium. Its description in RNAcentral is "Proteobacteria bacterium partial 16S ribosomal RNA". It matches the Rfam family "Bacterial small subunit ribosomal RNA", at positions 355 to 776 of the family's 1533-position model. The record is from RNAcentral. Lineage: Bacteria; Pseudomonadati; Pseudomonadota.